RNAcentral lists this transfer RNA (74 nucleotides) under Nocardioidaceae bacterium. Its description in RNAcentral is "tRNA-Ile". It matches the Rfam family "tRNA". From Rfam's summary of the family: Transfer RNA (tRNA) molecules are approximately 80 nucleotides in length. Their secondary structure includes four short double-helical elements and three loops (D, anti-codon, and T loops). Lineage: Bacteria; Bacillati; Actinomycetota; Actinomycetes; Propionibacteriales; Nocardioidaceae. RNAcentral also lists the same sequence under 8 other names. The record is from RNAcentral.
GGGCGAUUAGCUCAGUCGGUUAGAGCGCUUCUCUGAUAAGGAAGAGGUCCCUGGUUCGAGUCCAGGAUCGCCCA